This is a long non-coding RNA of Pleuronectes platessa (European plaice), 1203 nucleotides long. RefSeq lists it as uncharacterized. The record is from RefSeq and is a predicted model, not a curated record. NCBI's taxonomy places the organism in Eukaryota, Metazoa, Chordata, Actinopteri, Pleuronectiformes, Pleuronectidae. The transcript is spliced from 5 exons.
ACUGAGUGUGCUCAGUCUUUUGAUGAACGCCAUCGCCCUCUGCAGGGUGACCUGCUUCCUGCGGCGGAUCAACAAGGUGUCCAGACAACGCAGCAAGAUGAUGAUGUCAUCAUUAGGCGCCCCUGGGUCAGACGGAGCAGUUUCAUGUUUAACGGUUUUCACACGUUCACGCUAUCAAAGAGCAAUAAGCUUAGAGAAUAUUCUGGUUCUCUGGCUCUGUUAACAAUUAAAUAAUAAACAUUAGAAUCAGGAUUUAUGAGGCUAGCUCAGUGAACUGGAAGGUUAUGAUUUAAAUGAACUCUUAGGUUUCUAUUGUAUUAGCAUAGUGUGUGUGUGUCUGGGUUAGGGUUAGACUUCCACUCUUCAACUAAUCGACAAACUGCCUAUUCCACAUUAACGUUGUCGUUUAUCUCUGCUUCACUGUCUGUGUGUGUGUGGGGGGGCGGGGUGUGUGAGUGUAAACUCCGCCCCAGGAUAUGACAUCACAGCUGUGAACUGACCUGCGUGUAGCCGCGGCAGCAUCCAGUAGAGCUGAGAGUAGAAGGAUGGUGAAGACGGUCUGGAUGCAGUGAAGACUCUCCCGAUUGGUCCGAUCCUGCAGAGAUGACAUCAUCAAUCACUUAUUGAUCGAUCGGUUUCUGACACCGGACUAAUGGCUCAGUAAGGGGCGAGGCCAAAGUGAAUACUCACUCCUGAUUGGAUGAGGUUCUGCAGCACGUUGAUCCCUCCAGUACGGCAGGAAGAAGAACAGACCCCUGAGCUUUCUUCAAAAUCCUGAAGUAGAUGAGGAAGACGAUGUUCAGAGUCUCUGUGUGCUGAGGAAGAGGAGGAAGAGCAAGAGUAUGGUGCAGUGGGCGGGGCCUCACCUGCUUGGCGGGGUCAUUCAUCAGCGGCACGAGGACGACCACGAUGUUGUUGUGGAAGUUGAAGUGCGGCAGAGCGAGCAGCAGCUCACACAGACAACGAACCGACACGUGGGCGAGACUCUGGUACGACUGCAGACUCACAACCUGCGAACGCUUCUUCUUCUGCUGCUUCCAGUCUGACAGCACAACACACAGGCAGUGCUCAACUGGAUUUAGGUCCGAGGAACGUGAGGGUCAGUCAAUGGGGGCCCUGCACCGGGAGGAACCCAGGGGCCACUGUACAAGGAGGAACCCAGGGGCCCUGCACCGGGAGGAACCCAGGGGCCACUGUACAAGG